UACAGUAGUGAAGGUCAACAUGCAGGGAAACAUCCAUACAGUAGUGAAGAUCAACAUGCAGCGAAACAUCUAUACAUGAUUGAAGGUCAACAUGCAGGGAAACAUCUAUACCGUAGUGAAGGUCAACAUGCAGGGAAACAUCUAUACAGUAGUGAAGGUCAACAUGCAUGGAAACAUCUAUACAGUAGUGAAGGUCAACAUGCAGGGAAACAUGUAUACAGUAGUGAAGGUCAACAUGCAGGGAAACAUCUAUACAGUAGUGAAGGUCAACGUGCAGGGAAACAUCUAUACAGUAGUGAAGGUCAACGUGCAGGGAAACAUCCAUAUAGUAGUGAAGGACUGGUAAACAUGCAAGGAAACAUCCAUAUAGUAGUGAAGGACUGGUAAACAUGCAGGGAAACAUCUAUACAGUAGUGAAGGUCAACGUGCAGGGAAACAUCCAU
This 443-nucleotide long non-coding RNA is filed under the name Salmo salar (Atlantic salmon). Its description in RNAcentral is "lncRNA (ENSSSAG00000107598.1)". The record is from RNAcentral. Lineage: Eukaryota; Metazoa; Chordata; Actinopteri; Salmoniformes; Salmonidae.